GUCAACUGAAUAUGUAAUCCCGAGACAGCGGGUGUCCUUCCGCGGAAGGACUUAAUAGUAAUGCCUGCCGAGGAUGAAUAAGUACCGUAAAAGUACAAAUUUAUAAGUCCUCGUGCGCAAGGCAUGGGGACUUCUUAUUUAUAUAA
Non-coding RNA from Chloroflexi bacterium RBG_13_52_12, 146 nucleotides. The record is from Rfam. Lineage: Bacteria; Bacillati; Chloroflexota.